This 45-nucleotide non-coding RNA is filed under the name Schistosoma curassoni. The record is from RNAcentral. Lineage: Eukaryota; Metazoa; Platyhelminthes; Trematoda; Strigeidida; Schistosomatidae.
NUCCAGCUGACGAGUCCCAAACAGGACGAAACGCGCGUCCUGGAU